UACGUAGGGUGCAAGCGUUGCUCGGAAUCAUUGGGCGUAAAGAGUGCGCAGGCGGUGAUGUAAGACAGAUGUGAAAUCCCCGGGCUCAACCUGGGAACUGCAUUUGUGACUGCAUCGCUGGAGUGCGGCAGAGGGGGAUGGAAUUCCGCGUGUAGCAGUGAAAUGCGUAGAUAUGCGGAGGAACACCGAUGGCGAAGGCAAUCCCCUGGGCCUGCACUGACGCUCAUGCACGGAAGCGUGGGGAGCAAACAGG
This 253-nucleotide ribosomal RNA is filed under the name uncultured bacterium. RNAcentral describes it as "partial 16S ribosomal RNA". It matches the Rfam family "Bacterial small subunit ribosomal RNA", at positions 524 to 776 of the family's 1533-position model. The record is from RNAcentral.